AUGUCUUCAAUACAUUUUGGUGUUAUUAUCCUGAUCCCCAAAGUUGUUGGGGCUACGGACAUUAGACACUUCAAACCUAUCAGGGUGAUCAAUGUUCUUCAACGCAUCUUCUUCAAAGUCCGCGCGACACGACUAGCCCAUGUAGCUGAGGGGCUGGAUCACCCCCUUCAAACGACAUUUCUGAAGGGACGACAGAUCCAUGACAGUAUCCUGGCCCUUCACGAGAUUAUUGAUGAGGUUAGGACACGUGGACAUAAGGGUGUUUUCCUCAAGUUGGACUUUCAGAAGGCCUAUGAUUGUCUGGACUGGUCCUUCUUUCUGUUAGUCCUUCAGCGUCGGGGCUUUGAAGAAAGACAGUGUUCUUGGAUCAUGUCGUUGGUUCGGUCUGGUAAAAUAGUGAUUAAUAUUAAUGGAGAGGUGGGUCCAUUCUUUAUGUCCUCUACGGGAGUUAAGCAAGGGGAUCUAAUUUCCCCACUUCUCUUUAACCUCGUUUGA
RNAcentral lists this ribosomal RNA (495 nucleotides) under Triticum aestivum (bread wheat). Its description in RNAcentral is "partial small subunit ribosomal RNA". Lineage: Eukaryota; Viridiplantae; Streptophyta; Magnoliopsida; Poales; Poaceae. The record is from RNAcentral.